RNAcentral lists this long non-coding RNA (548 nucleotides) under Macaca nemestrina (pig-tailed macaque). RNAcentral's name for it is "lncRNA (ENSMNEG00000045808.1)". Lineage: Eukaryota; Metazoa; Chordata; Mammalia; Primates; Cercopithecidae. The record is from RNAcentral.
ACGCGUAUGCUUCUUUCCUAUUGAUGUGUCUUAUGUCAGUUUAAUUCUCAGGCCCAGAAAAACAACAACAGCAACAACAACAACAACACUUUCAAACUCCCCUACAUGGUAAUUCUCAGAGUGGAACAUACACAGACAUGCUCACAGUAGGAAGAAAAGAAAAAGAAAAGGAAGACAACUCCACAACACACAAUGCUAGGCCAGAGGAUUGCCCCAAAGGCUGUUUGAGUUGAUCUUUCUGCCACUUGCAGAAGAGACCUGAUGUACAUCUUUCAUAUCCCAAGGUUCAUUCCAAUCAUGGGCCAAACUUGAACAUGAAAGAGCGGUACACAGGGUCCUGGAAACCUUCCUUUAAGUGGACAUCAGUCAAUUAAUCAAUAUCCUUCAGGUAUGGUUAUUAAACCAGUGACUAUUCCACUUAAUUGUAAAUAGCAUCUAAUCCAUAUUUCUUUACACAGUUCUUAAGCAGGUCACGAAAAAUUGCCAAAUUACUGGUGCACUUUCCAGAUCUACCUAUCAAUGCCAUCCAUAUAGAAACGAGAAUUAAU